This 421-nucleotide ribosomal RNA is filed under the name uncultured bacterium. Its description in RNAcentral is "bacterial SSU rRNA". It matches the Rfam family "Archaeal small subunit ribosomal RNA", at positions 456 to 876 of the family's 1478-position model. The record is from RNAcentral.
AGCCAGCAGCCGCGGUAAUACCGGCGGCUCGAGUGGUGGCCGAUAUUAUUGAGUCUAAAGGGUCCGUAGCCGGCUUUGCAAGUCCCCUGGGAAAUCCAGCGGCUUAACCGUUGGGCUUUCAUGGGAUACUACAUUGCUUGGGACUGGGAGAGGUAGGAGGUACUCGGGGGGUAGGGGUGAAAUCCUGUAAUCCUCCGGGGACCACCGGUGGCGAAGGCGUCCUACCAGAACAGGUCCGACGGUGAGGGACGAAAGCUAGGGGCACGAACCGGAUUAGAUACCCGGGUAGUCCUAGCCGUAAACGAUGCCCGCUAGGUGUCACGACGGUCGUGAAUCGUCGUGGUGCCGUAGGGAAGCCGCGAAGCGGGCCACUUGGGAAGUACGGCCGCAAGGCUGAAACUUAAAGGAAUUGGCGGGGGAU